GCUCGGGAGUGGAUCGGUGUUUCUCACACUCUCCCUUCUCUGCGAACGCGUCGCUUACGUCUGUGUGUUUGUCCCACCAAAUAGGUUGGGCUUUUGUGUGAUUAAUAUAGGCCCAAAUAUGAUUAGGUUAUUUUUCUUCUUGGUCGUUCUUCUUCUUCCCUGCCUCUUGACAGAAAGUCGACAACGUAACGUCCCAAGAAUAUUUGCUCUGAUAUUUAUUCUGAGUUUUCCUUUCAUUAAUCCUUUCAUUUAAUUCUCACUUAUCUCUCGUCUUUUCAACUUCAUUAUUUUCAAUCCUAUAAAUUGAGGACCAUAACUUUGCUCUAGCAAACAAUCCAUUCCUUGGAACACAGCCUACAAAAAUGAGGCAAUAUUAGCUUUGUUCAGACUUCAGACAACAAAUUACUUAGAAAGCUCAUAACACCUUCUCUUCCACAAUCCAAUGACAAAACCAAAGCUCUCCAAAUAACCCCUGAAAUCCAUUCAUGGCAUCAAAAGAUCUACGGGUAUUGCUUCUAUCUUUCUAUAAAUAUUUUAGUCAUUUGGAUUCUGUUUCGGCCAGUAUGAUAUAAUAUGAUAUUGAUUCUUUCUCGCCUUGAAAUUUAAGUUCAAGUUCAUGUUUCUUUAUAAAGGUCAACAUUAUUUUUUUCUUUUCUACAUUUCUGAUACUCCACCUAUAUUAUAGCGUAAGAGAAUCCCUAAAAUUGACGUUCCUAAAACUGAUACCAUGUAAUUAAAAAAUACUUCACCUAUAUUUGUUCUUAUGAGGUGUCGUUUGUGGAGCUAAUUUUUUUAAUUGUAUUUUGCAUUGCGGUUAAGUGUAUGUGAAGUAUUUUUUAGGACUAAUGAUUAGUAUGGUUGUAGCUUGAUCAAUGUGUUAUUGUAUUUCCUGCAGAUGAUGCUUUUCUCCAUCUGAUUCAGCCAAUGAAAUAAGCAUAUUGAUCACAAUAAUGCUCUUUAGCUUCUAUGACUAUGAGCAAACACUAAUGGUUGGUUUUUAAUAUGUCCACUUGAAUUUCUCUUAUCAGAUGCAUAAGACUGUGAUAGUCUUUGAAAGUGGUCAAACCACAUGAAUUUUAUGUUGAUUUUGAGAUGAUUUUGUACUUUACUGCAACCUCCAACCACCUCAGUUACGGUGCGCACUGCUUACUGCAAUGGGCGUCUCCUACAAGCCAAAGAACCUUGCCAUUGCUUCCAGAAGAUUCUUUGGCACUAACCCAAAUCUAGCGAGCUAGGCCAAGAUGGCUACAGCUACACAAGUUGUGCAAAUCCCUAAACGCAACAUGACCCAUGAAACCAAGCUUAACUACGACUUAAAAACCCGUUUGUGAUAUGCAGGUCAACUUAUAUCCCGAUCUGCAUAGGACAAAAGGAUGUGUCAUGUCCUUCACCGCCCGGUUUCUACCAACCCAGGAAGAAAGCGUAUGUUCUGUAUGUGAUAUUGCAGUCAUUGGCGUAGACGCAUCUGGUCUGCUCGCUUUGCUCUCCGUUUCAAGUCCGGUGAUCAAUUCAGAUUGGUAACUUUGAGAGUCUUAUGUGGUUUUCUACCUCUGUGGAUGAGGUUAAGUAAAAGUGACUUUAAAUAAAGAAAAAUAUUGUUUUGACAAAGUUAUACAUAUUCUGCAAUUUGUAAAUUGUGAAUGAUGUAGCUAGGACUAUAAUCUAUUAUUUUAUAUAUAGUCAUUGUAGGAGUUCGUUUAUAUAUUUUUUAACUUACUUCAA
Molecule: long non-coding RNA, 1722 nt
Organism: Brassica rapa (field mustard)
Lineage: Eukaryota; Viridiplantae; Streptophyta; Magnoliopsida; Brassicales; Brassicaceae
Source: RefSeq, a predicted model, not a curated record